UGCAAGUCGAACGGAGUUAAGGAAAUUUCGGAUGGAACUUAACUAGUGGCGGACGGGUGAGUAACGCGUGGAUAACCUGCCUCACACUGGGGGAUAGCAGCUGGAAACGGCUGGUAAUACCGCAUAAGACCACAGCACCGCAUGGUGCAGGGGUAAAAGAUUUAUCGGUGUGAGAUGGAUCCGCGUCUGAUUAGCCAGUUGGCGGGGUAACGGCCCACCAAAGCGACGAUCAGUAGCCGGCCUGAGAGGGUGAACGGCCACAUUGGGACUGAGACACGGCCCAAACUCCUACGGGAGGCAGCAGUGGGGAAUAUUGCACAAUGGGCGCAAGCCUGAUGCAGCAACGCCGCCGUGAGUGAAGAAGUAUUUCGGUAUGUAAAGCUCUAUCGGCAGGGAAGAAAGGCCCAUAACAGGGAGAUGACGGUACCUGACUAAGAAGCCCCGGCUAACUACGUGCCAGCCGCCGC
RNAcentral lists this ribosomal RNA (467 nucleotides) under uncultured bacterium. Its description in RNAcentral is "bacterial SSU rRNA". It matches the Rfam family "Bacterial small subunit ribosomal RNA", at positions 56 to 518 of the family's 1533-position model. The record is from RNAcentral.